Long non-coding RNA from Lagopus muta (rock ptarmigan), 2529 nucleotides. RefSeq lists it as uncharacterized. NCBI's taxonomy places the organism in Eukaryota, Metazoa, Chordata, Aves, Galliformes, Phasianidae. The transcript has 8 exons. The record is from RefSeq and is a predicted model, not a curated record.
ACUGCCUCCUUGGAAGUAUUGGGAGUGAGUUCUGCCCUUUGGAAUGGGGUCUGUCAGCAGAAGGAGCAGCAACUGCACCUGGAGAUUGCUUCCUUUAGAGCGUGGGGUGAACCCUUGAAACUGGGACUGUGACCUUUCCUGUUUUUGGGGCAUCCUGACCACAUUGAAGUGCUGGCAGAUGUAAGGGCAGCAUUGAUCUCUGGAGACUGUCUCCUGUGGAGCAGGGGGACUUCACCUGACUGCCUUGACUUCUCAAAUACCACUGCGAGUGGCUCGGUGACUGCAGCGGUGAAUUCCCUCAGGGCUCUGGGACUCGUCUCAUCAGGACCCAAAGACUCCUGGAUGUCAGGUUCUCAGGUGGCUGCGGAGUUGCAGCGCUCCCGAGUGCCGUAACGACUGCAUGGAGAUGCGUGGCUCUUCAUGGGAACAGCAAGGAACCGGAAUCUGCAUUUCCUGGAAUGCCCCAGAGCCUCGCUUUGCUGGCUGGUAAUUGUCUGCCCAGCAGGUGGCAGCAGAGCUGCGUUGCUCCUGAGCACUUUAAGGACAGCACGGAGAUGCGCGGCUCUUCAUGGCAGCAGCAGAAACUGGAAUCUGCAUUUCCUGGAAUGCCCCGGAACCUCGCUUUGCUGGCCGGUAAUUGUCUGCCCAGCAGGUGAAGAUGCCUUCGAUGCUUCCAGUUGAUGGCUUCCCCCCUGCGAUGCCAUCGUCUUUCCAGUCCUCCCGCACUCACCGCCUGCUCGGUUCAGUCCAGCCGUUACCUGAAUCCCUGCUCCGUUCCCUUUCCUGAGUGCUGUAAGGACAGCAUGGAGAUGUGCGGCUCUUGAUGACAGCAGCAGGAACCGGAAUCUGCAUUUCCUGGAACGCCCCGGAACCCCACUUUGCUGCCUGGUAAUUGUCUGCCCAGCAGGUGAAGAUGCCUUCGAUGCUUCCAGUCGAUGACUUCCCCCCUGCGAUGCCAUUGGCUUUCCUGGCCUCCCACAGUCACCGCCAGCUCAGUUCAGUUGAGCUGUUACCCGAAUCCCCACUCCGUUCCCUUUCCAUGAUUUCCAUGAUCUUCCUGUCACUCUGUCACAAGCCCCCACCAAGAUCAUCGCAGGCAACGUGUGGGAUGCGGCACUCGGUCUCAUUACAGUUCAUCCCAUCAGCUUCAGCCCAGCGAUCCAACCCACCCGCACCCUUCCUGAGGGCCCUUCUGCUCCCAGGCCAAUCAACGCUUCCUUCUGAUGCCAUCUGCAUUCCUUCCUGGCCACUUUCAGACUCGUGCCCCUUUGUGGCCAUUUUGAGAGUUGCGCUGAUUUCAGCGUCUGCAUUCAAUUGACUUCAACCAAAUUGGCUUUAGCUUUACAUUCAAUUAAUGUAAACCAAAUUGGCUUUAGUUUUACAUCCAAUUAAUGUAAACCAAAUUGGCUUUAGCUUUACAUGCAAUUAAAUGUAAACCAAAUUGGCUUUAAGUUUGCCUUGCUUACGGGGUUGGGUUAGCUUUGCUUUGUUUGUUCUAGCGCAGGGCUAACCCAACCCCGUAACCAAGGGCCGGCGGAGGCGAUUUUGUUCCUUCCCGGCCAGUCUGAGACUUGCGCCCCCUUGUGGCCAUUUGAUGAUCUGUGCUGAUUUCAGUGUCUGCAUUCAAUUAAUCUCAACCAAAUUGGCUUUAGCCUUGCAGUCAUUUUGCAUCAACCAAAUUGGCUUUGGUUUUGCAUUCAACUUAUUUCAACCAAAUUGGCUUUAGUUUUACAUUCACUUGACUUCAAUCAAAUUGGCUUUAGCUUUACACUCAAUUAUUGUAAACCAAAUUGGCUUUAGUUUUACAUCCAAAUUAUGUAAACCAAAUUGGCUUUAAGUUUGCCUUGCUUACGGGGUUGGGUUAGCUUUGCUUUGUUUGUUCUAGCGCAGGGCUAACCCAACCCCGUAACCAAGGGCCGGUGGAGGCGAUUUUGUUCCUCCCGGCCAGUCUGAGACUCGUGCCCCCUUGUGGCCAUUUGAAGAGUUGCGCUGAUUUCGGCAUCUGCAUUCAAUUAAUCUCAACCAACUUGGCUUUAGCCUUGCAGUCAUUUUGCAUCAACCAAAUUGGCUUUAGUUUUACAUUCACUUGACUUCAAUCAAAUUGGCUUUAGCUUUACACUCAAUUAUUGUAAGCCAAGUUGACUUAGUUUUACAUCUAAUUAAAUGUAAACCAAAUUGGCUUUAGUUUUACAUCCAAUUAAUGUAAACCAAAUUGGCUUUAGCAUUGCCUUGCUUACGGGGUUGGGUUAGCUUUGCUUUGUUUGUUCUAGCGCAGGGCUAACCCAACCCCGUAACCAAGGGCCGGUGGAGGCGAUUUUGUUCCUUCCCGGCCAGUCUGAGACUUGUGCCCCCUUGUGGCCAUUUGAUGAUCUGUGCUGAUUUCAGCGUCUGCAUUCAAUUAAUCUCAAUCAAAUUGGCUUUGGCUUUGCAUUCAACUUAUUUCAACCAAAUUGGCUUUAGUUUUACAUUCAAUUGACUUCAAUCAAAUUGGCUUUAGUUUUACAUCCAAUUAAUGUAAACCAAAUUGGC